Long non-coding RNA from Pieris brassicae (large cabbage white), 667 nucleotides. RefSeq lists it as uncharacterized. The transcript is spliced from 3 exons. The record is from RefSeq and is a predicted model, not a curated record. Lineage: Eukaryota; Metazoa; Arthropoda; Insecta; Lepidoptera; Pieridae.
AUAUUUUAUUUGACGAAAUUAAGAUUAAUAAUUCAAACAUCUUAUGGGGACCUAGUUUAAUUCAACGUAGAUAAAAAACACUUUGCUUAAUGAAGUGUGAAUAUAAAAAAAAGUCUUGCCAAUAAUAAUCUAUAAUGGCUAUUGUGAAGAUAAUAUUGAUAUUGACCGUACAACCCAUGUGGCAAAGUGGGUACUUAAAAAAGCUCCUUACAAACGUUGUGUAAUAUAAAAAAAAAUUGCGAUUAAAAAGAGUGUCGGAGAGUUUAUUGCCAGUUCUUCUCUUCCGUUCUACCAUUGAUUAACUUAGACUUUGGGAAAGCCAUCAGCGGUAGUCGUCAAGAACGGGGAACAAAAUAACCGGUGAAAAAAUUGUAAUACUGCGUUUAAGAUAAUUGUUUACUUCAUGAUAUUUUUUUGUAUUUUAUAAUAUUUUUAUAUUAUUAAAAUGAUUAAUUAAAUAUACUAUUAUAUUAUAUUAUAUUUAAUGACUCCCUACCAAACGUAGUAACCAAGUUAAAAACAUGGCUAACUACUUUGUAGGUUAAUAAAAGAACAAUAUAAUAAUUUACACAUUUAAUUUAAUUAUCAUAAUAAACUUUUAACACACUAAAAAAUGACUUUCAGUAAUAUAUACUUAAUCUUAAGUAUAAUAAAAACUAAUUCAAAC